This 24-nucleotide microRNA is filed under the name Medicago truncatula (barrel medic). Its description in RNAcentral is "mtr-miR5276". The record is from miRBase by way of RNAcentral. Lineage: Eukaryota; Viridiplantae; Streptophyta; Magnoliopsida; Fabales; Fabaceae.
AGGGGGAGCACCUUGCUGGGGCAU